CAGCUCGUGUCGUGAGAUGUUGGGUUAAGUCCGUAACGAGCGCACCUUGUCCUUAGUUACCAGCACGUUAUGUGGGCACUCUAAGGAGACUGCCGGUGACAAACCGGAGGAAGGUGGGGAUGACGUCAAGUCAGCAUGGCCUUUAUAUCCUGGGCUACACACACGCUACAAUGGGAAGGGACAAUAGGUUGCGAAGCCGCGAGGCGGAGCCAAUCCAGCAAAACUUCCCUCAGUUCAGAUUGCAGGCUGCAACUCGCCUGCAUGAAGUUGGAGUUGCUAGUAAACGCAGGUCAGCCAUACUGCGUUGAAUACGUUCCCGGGGCUU
Molecule: ribosomal RNA, 325 nt
Filed under: uncultured Anaerolineaceae bacterium
Lineage: Bacteria; Bacillati; Chloroflexota; Anaerolineae; Anaerolineales; Anaerolineaceae
Description: bacterial SSU rRNA
Rfam family: Bacterial small subunit ribosomal RNA
Source: RNAcentral